Otolemur garnettii (small-eared galago) is the source of this 1375-nucleotide long non-coding RNA. RefSeq lists it as uncharacterized. The record is from RefSeq and is a predicted model, not a curated record. NCBI's taxonomy places the organism in Eukaryota, Metazoa, Chordata, Mammalia, Primates, Galagidae. The transcript has 3 exons.
GGGGGCUGCGCUAGCUCCCAGAUGUGCUCCUGCGUUCGAGGGUCUGUGCUGCCCGCUGAAUACUCAUUCAUUUACGUUUUAACCAUUAUCUUCCUGACGGAUGGCUGCCAAAACUGUUGUUCCCAGAUUGGCUGCACACAAGAGCAGAGUUUUUGGGAAAUUUUAAAUAAGAGUGAUCAAAAUCCUGAAGCUAUUCUUGGAAGACUUAUGACAGGAGUUGAAACAGCUUUAUCAGUAGAAUCCUGAAGUUACGUUUUCCACAAACUUUUGGAAGUCCCCUUUUAUAAAUGGAACAGCAAACCAAAACCUGGUGAGGCAGAUGGUCAGAAGUUGUAAUUCACAGAGAUGUGAAUGCUGUUUAAUAGAAGGCCCAGGAAGGUGACAUUCACCAGGAUAUAAUAUUAUUAUUAUUAAAAUUCAGGGCAAAUGACCCAAGGGUUCAUCAACAGGUGACUGAGUAAGUAAAACAUGACAUAUACAUACAGUGGAAUGUUAUUCAGUCUUGAAAGGGAGUGAAGCACUGAUACAUACUACAAAAUGGACACAAAAGGACGUAUAUGAUUCCACUUCUAUGCAGUACCUAGAGCAGGCAAAUUCAUAGAGAUGGAAAGAAGAAUGGUUGCCAGGAGCUGGGGGAAGACAGGGAUGGAGAGUUACUUUUGUGGGUACAGCUUUCAGUUGGGGAAGAUUAGAAACUUCUAGAGAUGGACCGCAGUAAUGGUUGCACAAGGUGAACAGAGUUAAUGCCACUGAACCGUAUGUACACUUAAGAAUGGUUAAAAUGGUAAAUUUUAUGUAACAUAUAUUUGGUCACAAUAACUUAAAAAAAUAUUCAGAGCAAUUCAUAAAACCUUCCCACAGCAGAAAGCCUGAAGCUUAACUGUCCUCAGGGGCAUUCACAGAAGGAAAAUUUGCAGAGUCAAGAACGGAUUUGCAGAUUUGCACAGGGUUACAACUAUUAUUGGAAGAAAAAGAGGUGAGAUGAAAGAAACAAAGCAGGUAAAUCUAUAUGUUAAAAACAGAACAGUCUUUGUUGGUGUGGGGCUGAGAUGUGUAGAAUUUCCCACUGAAUUGAUGAAAUAUAUAGAUGAUAAUAUUGUCUGUGGAUGAGGUUCUUUUACUUUUUCUUUCCCAUCUGGAUGGUUUUUUCCUUGUUUGAUUCCACUGGAUAGAACCUUUAGAACAAUAUUGAAUAGCCUUUACUGGAAAGAACAGACAUCCUUGACACGUAUGUGAUCUGUAGAGAAUUGAGUCAUUCACCACUAAGUAUAAAGUUAACUGUGGGUUUUCUGCCAUCAUUACAUUGGGGAACUUGUCUUUUUCUAGUUUGCUGGUAAUUUUUAUCAAAAAUGGAUUUUGUAUUUUGUCAAGUACC